GUUGAAAAAUUAGCGGAUGACUUGUGGCUGGGGGUGAAAGGCCAAUCAAACCGGGAGAUAGCUGGUUCUCCCCGAAAUCUAUUUAGGUAGAGCCUUGAGGUGACACCUUUGGGGGUAGAGCACUGUUUCGGCUAGGGGUCCAUCCCGGAUUACCAACCCGAUGCAAACUACGAAUACCAAAGAGUGAUACUCAGGAGACACACGGCGGGUGCUAACGUCCGUCGUGGAGAGGGAAACAACCCAGACCGCCAGCUAAGGUCCCCAAGUCUAUAUUAAGUGGGAAACGAAGUGGGAAGGCUUAGACAGCUAGGAUGUUGGCUUAGAAGCAGCCAUCAUUUAAAGAAAGCGUAAUAGCUCACUAGUCGAGUCGGCCUGCGCGGAAGAUGUAACGGGGCUGAAAUAUAGCACCGAAGCUGCGGCAUCAGGCGUAUCACUAAUACGCCUUACGAUUAACAAGCUAGAAUGGCGCGAAGCGUCAUGAAAGGUUGUUCAAGCAACCCGAACGUUGAGUCGGGCAUCUUAGAGUAAGGAUGAUUAGUGAUACGCCUGUUGGGUAGGGGAGCGUUGUGUAAGCGGAAGAAGGUUCAUCGAGAGGUGGGCUGGACGUAUCACAAGUGCGAAUGCUGACAUAAGUAACGAUAAAACGGGUGAAAAACCCGUUCGCCGGAAGACCAAGGGUUCCUGUCCAACGUUAAUCGGGGCAGGGUGAGUCGGCUCCUAAGGCGAGGCUGAAAAGCGUAGUCGAUGGGAAACAGGUUAAUAUUCCUGUACUUGGUAAAGCUGCGAUGUGGGGACGGAGUAGGUUAGGUUAUCGCACUGUUGGAUAUGUGCGUUUAAGUUGGUAGGUGGGAAGUUUAGGCAAAUCCGGACUUCCUUAACACAGAGAGAUGAUGACGAGGCUCUACGGAGCUGAAGUAACUGAUACCACACUUCCAGGAAAAGCCACUAAGCGAAAGGCUUUACUAAACCGUACUGAAAACCGACACAGGUGGUCAGGUAGAGAAUACUCAGGCGCUUGAGAGAACUCGGGUGAAGGAACUAGGCAAAAUAGCACCGUAACUUCGGGAGAAGGUGCGCCGGCGUAGAUUGUAGUCCCUAGCGGGCGAAGGUUGAACCGGUCGAAGAUACCAGCUGGCUGCAACUGUUUAUUAAAAACACAGCACUCUGCAAACACGAAAGUGGACGUAUAGGGUGUGAUGCCUGCCCGGUGCUGGAAGGUUAAUUGAUGGUGUCAUCGCAAGAGAAGCACCUGAUCGAAGCCCCAGUAAACGGCGGCCGUAACUAUAACGGUCCUAAGGUAGCGAAAUUCCUUGUCGGGUAAGUUCCGAC
Molecule: ribosomal RNA, 1329 nt
Filed under: human gut metagenome
Description: bacterial LSU rRNA
Rfam family: Bacterial large subunit ribosomal RNA
Source: RNAcentral